Non-coding RNA from Pelobates cultripes (western spadefoot toad), 242 nucleotides. NCBI's taxonomy places the organism in Eukaryota, Metazoa, Chordata, Amphibia, Anura, Pelobatidae. The record is from the annotation of a GenBank genome assembly.
GCACUGCAGACAUACAGUGGCACUCUUGUGUUACACUCUUUCAAGAAAAAAGGGAUGGACCUUUGUUUUAGCAUGGAAUUUAAGAGUUAGACUGAUGCUGGACAAUCAUUGGCCUUUUAAAACCCAAACACACUUGAUGGGAAAAAUUAAAAAGAAUUAAGUGAGAAAUGACAUCUUGAUUGAUUGUCCUUUAUCAUUUCCUCUUCUGGAAUAACUGUUAGAGUGCCAUAGGUCCAUGGCUG